Molecule: ribosomal RNA, 601 nt
Filed under: Catocha angulata
Lineage: Eukaryota; Metazoa; Arthropoda; Insecta; Diptera; Cecidomyiidae
Description: eukaryotic LSU rRNA
Rfam family: Eukaryotic large subunit ribosomal RNA
Source: RNAcentral
AAACCGCUUAGGGGUUAAGCCCGAUGAACCUGAAUAUCUGAUGUGAGAAAUUCAAUACUAUACAAAUUUGUAUUUUUAAUAUAAAUUGUACUGUAUGCACUUUUCUCAUAGUAAGACAUUGUAAUCCAUUAAUAUUAUAUCUCUUUAUUGAGAUGGUUUAACAUAAGGACAAAAUGUAUUGGAUUAUUCUAUCAGUGAUGUGUUUUUCAUAUCAUAUGAAUAAAAUUCGUUUUGUACCCGUUUAAAUAGUUGAUGGAUUUUAUGACAAUCAUGCUUUCAAAAAUUUAUUUUUGAGUUUCGGAUUAUUAAUUUUUAAUUAGUAGUAGCAAGAAAUGGCAUGUAUUUGAUUAACAAUGCGAUAGAUUUGGGAUGCCUUCGGGACCCGUCUUGAAACACGGACCAAGGAGUCUAACAUAUGUGCAAGUCAUUGAGUAUUUUGUUGAAACCUAAUGGCGCAAUUAAAAUGACUAUAUUUUUAAUUUGGGAUCACAAGUAAUGUUCAAAUUUAUGCAUUAUUUUUUAAUCCCGGGGCGUUCUAUACGAACAUGAUAUAAGCGAUUAUGUCCUCUGUUUAAGAGCGUACCUUGAGCACAUAUGCUGU